UAAUACAUGCAAGUCGAACGAGUUCUGGUUGAUGAUCGGYGCUUGCACCGAGAUUCAACAUGGAACGAGUGGCGGACGGGUGAGUAACACGUGGGUAACCUGCCCUUAAGUGGGGGAUAACAUUUGGAAACAGAUGCUAAUACCGCAUAGAUCCAAGAACCGCAUGGUUCUUGGCUGAAAGAUGGCGUAAGCUAUCGCUUUUGGAUGGACCCGCGGCGUAUUAGCUAGUUGGUGAGGUAAUGGCUCACCAAGGCGAUGAUACGUAGCCGAACUGAGAGGUUGAUCGGCCACAUUGGGAGUGAGACACGGCCCAAACUCCUACGGAAGGCAGCAGUAGGGAAUCUUCCACAAUGGACGCAAGUCUGAUGGAGCAACGCCGCGUGAGUGAAGAAGGCUUUCGGGUCGUAAAACUCUGUUGUUGGAGAAGAAUGGUGUUGAGAGUAACUGUUCAAGGGUUGACGGUAUCCAACCAGAAAGCCACGGCUAACUACGUGCCAGCAGCCGCGGUAAUACGUAGGUGGCAAGCGUUAUCCGGAUUUAUUGGGCGUAAAGCGAGCGCAGGCGGUUUUUUAAGUCUGAUGUGAAAGCCCUCGGCUUAACCGGGGAAGCGCAUCGGAAACUGGGAGACUUGAGUGCAGAAGAGGACAGUGGAACUCCAUGUGUAGCGGUGAAAUGCGUAGAUAUAUGGAAGAACACCAGUGGCGAAGGCGGCUGUCUGGUCUGUAACUGACGCUGAGGCUCGAAAGCAUGGGUAGCGAACAGGAUUAGAUACCCUGGUAGUCCAUGCCGUAAACGAUGAAUGCUAAGUGUUGGAGGGUUUCCGCCCUUCAGUGCCGCAGCUAACGCAUUAAGCAUUCCGCCUGGGGAGUACGACCGCAAGGUUGAAACUCAAAGGAAUUGACGGGGGCCCGCACAAGCGGUGGAGCAUGUGGUUUAAUUCGAAGCAACGCGAAGAACCUUACCAGGUCUUGACAUCUUUUGAUCACCUGAGAGAUCAGGUUUCCCCUUCGGGGGCAAAAUGACAGGUGGUGCAUGGUUGUCGUC
This 1044-nucleotide ribosomal RNA is filed under the name Lacticaseibacillus casei. RNAcentral describes it as "bacterial SSU rRNA". Lineage: Bacteria; Bacillati; Bacillota; Bacilli; Lactobacillales; Lactobacillaceae. The record is from RNAcentral.